Molecule: ribosomal RNA, 775 nt
Filed under: uncultured Neocallimastigales
Lineage: Eukaryota; Fungi; Neocallimastigomycota; Neocallimastigomycetes; Neocallimastigales
Description: partial large subunit ribosomal RNA
Rfam family: Eukaryotic large subunit ribosomal RNA
Source: RNAcentral
AGAGAGAGACAUGCGCGCAUAUCAAUAAGCGGAGGAAAAGAAACUAACAAGGAUUCCCCUAGUAACGGCGAGUGAAGCGGGAAGAGCUCAAAUUUGAAAUCUUAAAGGGUUUCCCUUUACGAAUUGUAGUUUAAAGAAGUGUUUUCUGUUGAGGUUUUGGUAAAAGUUCUUUGGAAUAGGACAUCAUAGAGGGUGAGAAUCCCGUAUUUGACCUUUACUUUCAACUUUGUGAUACACUUUCAAAGAGUCGGAUUGUUUGGGAAUGCAGUCCAAAAUGGGUGGUAAAUUUCAUCUAAAGCUAAAUACUGGCGAGAGACCGAUAGCGAACAAGUACCGUGAGGGAAAGAUGAAAAGAACUUUGAAAAGAGAGUUAAACAGUACGUGAAAUUGUCAAAAGGGAAGCGUUUGACACCAGUGUUGUUUUUCUGAAAAUCAAUUAAAGAACUGUUUAUGCUAAGUUGUUUAGACUUUAUCAGCUAAUCUGUUUAGUUUUGAGCUUUUCUUUAAUGCACUUUUCAGUUAACAAGUCAACAUCAAUUUCUUUUGCUGUAAAAAAGCUUGAGGAAGGUGGCUUGAGAUUCGUCUUAAGUGUUUAUAGCCUCUUGCCUAUGCAGUCGGAGAGAUUGAGGUCUGCAGCGUAGAUCCUUCGGGGCUAAAUGCAUUUGUGCUAAGUUAUAACAUUUUAUAGACAACUUGUUGACUAUGAUUUGUCUUGUAGCUUACUCGCUUAUGUUAUUUUACCUACGCUUAGGAUGUUGAAGACUCUACAGAGAUA